GGCCGUGUGGUUCAGUGGUUGGAGCAUUGGCCUGCGCACCAAAGUGUCAUGGGUUCGAUUCCCGAUCAAGGGCA
Molecule: non-coding RNA, 74 nt
Organism: Myotis brandtii (Brandt's bat)
Lineage: Eukaryota; Metazoa; Chordata; Mammalia; Chiroptera; Vespertilionidae
Source: Rfam